UUUUGGACAAUGGGCGCAAGCCUGAUCCAGCCAUUCCGCGUGAGUGAAGAAGGCCUUCGGGUUGUAAAGCUCUUUCGCCCGGGAAGAAAGAUUACUCUCUAACAUAGAGUGAUUAUGACGGUACCUUGAUAAGAAGCACCGGCUAACUACGUGCCAGCAGCCGCGGUAAUACGUAGGGUGCGAGCGUUAAUCGGAAUUACUGGGCGUAAAGCGUGCGCAGGCUGUUUUGUAAGUCAGAUGUGAAAUCCCUGAGCUCAACUUAGGAACUGCGUUUGAAACUACAAGACUAGAAUAUGUCAGAGGGGGGUAGAAUUCCACGUGUAGCAGUGAAAUGCGUAGAGAUGGGAGGAAUACCAAGGCGAAGGCAGCCCCCUGGAUAAUAUUGACGCUCAUGCACGAAG
RNAcentral lists this ribosomal RNA (401 nucleotides) under uncultured bacterium. Its description in RNAcentral is "bacterial SSU rRNA". It matches the Rfam family "Bacterial small subunit ribosomal RNA", at positions 362 to 758 of the family's 1533-position model. The record is from RNAcentral.